UUAUUUUUAAUCAAUUUUCGGAAAUUCAGAAAUUAAAUAAAUUAAAAACCGUCACUAUAGCCCUUAGUGACAAUAAUCGUCGCUGUUGGUGUUCUUGAGCCUCAAGAAAACUGACAGGCCGGUUACCAACAUACUAAGUUUGACCAGCUAUAAAUUACAAUCUGAUAAAGUUCCGGGCUAACUAAAGCUUUGAUAUUGUAGCUAACAUGUAAUACUACAGUUAUCCUAUCUCAACUUGCUCAGACAACAACACAACAAAGCAAUCUGAG
This 269-nucleotide long non-coding RNA is filed under the name Panax ginseng (ginseng). RNAcentral's name for it is "long non-coding RNA (PGIN_LNC018659)". The record is from RNAcentral. Lineage: Eukaryota; Viridiplantae; Streptophyta; Magnoliopsida; Apiales; Araliaceae.